RNAcentral lists this ribosomal RNA (497 nucleotides) under uncultured bacterium. RNAcentral describes it as "partial 16S ribosomal RNA". It matches the Rfam family "Bacterial small subunit ribosomal RNA", at positions 28 to 507 of the family's 1533-position model. The record is from RNAcentral.
GACGAACGCUGGCGGCGUGCCUAAUACAUGCAAGUUGAGCGCUGAAGGUUGGUACUUGUACCAACUGGAUGAGCAGCGCACGGGUGAGUAACGCGUGGGGAAUCUGCCUUUGAGCGGGGGACAACAUUUGGAAACGAAUGCUAAUACCGCAUAAAAACUUUAAACACAAGUUUUAAGUUUGAAAGAUGCAAUUGCAUCACUCAAAGAUGAUCCCGCGUUGUAUUAGCUAGUUGGUGAGGUAAAGGCGCACCAAGGCGAGGAUACAUAGCCGACCUGAGAGGAUGAGAGGCCACAUUGGGAGUGAGACACGGCCCAAAGGCCUACGGGAGGCAGCAGUAGGGAAUCGGCGGCCAUGGAUGAAAGUCUGACCGAGCAACGCCGAGUGAGUGAAGAAGGUUUUCGGAUCGGAAAACUCUGUUGGUAGAGAAGAACGCUGGUGAGAGUGGAAAGCUCAUCAAGUGACGGUAACUACCCAGAAAGGGACGGCUAACUACGUG